This 77-nucleotide transfer RNA is filed under the name Opitutia bacterium. RNAcentral describes it as "tRNA-Val". It matches the Rfam family "tRNA". From Rfam's summary of the family: Transfer RNA (tRNA) molecules are approximately 80 nucleotides in length. Lineage: Bacteria; Pseudomonadati; Verrucomicrobiota; Opitutia. The record is from RNAcentral. RNAcentral also lists the same sequence under 1 other name.
GGGGGAUUAGCUCAGCUGGUUAGAGCACUUGCUCGACACGCAAGGGGUCGGCAGUUCGAAUCUGCCAUCUCCCACCA